This 995-nucleotide long non-coding RNA is filed under the name Homo sapiens (human). Its description in RNAcentral is "HSALNT0247769". The record is from RNAcentral. Lineage: Eukaryota; Metazoa; Chordata; Mammalia; Primates; Hominidae.
UAAAGAUGCCAUUUGCGGCGGGGCACGGUGGCUCACCCAAAUUCAAGUUCUUUACCCCCAAAUACACCAUGUUAGCAUAGCCACUGCUUUAAAAAAAUGCUACUAGUGUAUGAUUCUAAUGCAAUUUUCAGAACUGAAAUACUGGGGGCCAAAAAUAUAUGAUAAUAGCAGACAAUCUGCAGCUCACACACGAGGCUAAAUCAAGCGGCCAGGUCCUCCUCCGAUCUCUGCUGAUGCUGCUUUCAGAGGCCUUCGGAGACCACCCCACACCCUCCACGGCUACUCCCCAGCCCCACUCCCAUUACCCACUUCACAUAUUACCUAUGCAUUUAUCUAUUCAUUUGAACAUCCUUCCCAGUGGAAUCUGUUUACACUUAUAUUUGCAGUGUGUAAAUAUCUGGGUUAUAAUGCGAGAAGCAGCAGCCAAAGGCUUAUUUGUAAUAGUGUAGACAGGAAGCAGCCCACCUAUUCUCAAAUCCCACACUGAAGUUCAAAGGAACUUAUUUUGACUUACUGAGGAGUCCCUGCUGGCUAACUAAAUAAAACCAAAACUCACAGAAGCACCAGGGGACUCCGACAGGCCAAGGUUUUCAAACCAGGCUUACAGGAACAUCAAACAUUUAUACACGCAGCACUUUACAAAAGCACCUUCACACAGGAACUCAUUUGCCUGCAAAACAACCCUGUGAGAAACAGGGCAGGUUUUACUAAUUCCCAUUUUACUGACGAAGACAUCGAGGCUCAGAGAUGCUUGACUGUGUCUCGGGAGCUUCAAGACAACCCCCCUCUGCUGUCUUCAGUGGGCGGCAUCCAAGCUGUGCCAGACACUCGGCACCCACCUGCUCUUAGGGCUGCAGGCAGGAGCAGGAGGAGCACCCAAGAGGCACCUGCUGCUGCCAAGAGCAAAACCCAAACCCAGGGACACAGGCAGAUUCCAGAGAAACUAAUAAACUAGUUAAAAGACAAAUAUUUUAAUCUAGUUUCCCCACUUUAAA